Molecule: ribosomal RNA, 591 nt
Filed under: uncultured bacterium
Lineage: Bacteria
Description: bacterial SSU rRNA
Rfam family: Bacterial small subunit ribosomal RNA
Source: RNAcentral
CCUACGGGAGGCAGCAGUGAGGAAUUUUCCGCAAUGGGCGAAAGCCUGACGGAGCAAUACCGCGUGAGGGAUGAAGGAUUUUGGUCUGUAAACCUCUUUUCUCAAGAAAGAAGUUCUGACGGUACUUGAGGAAUAAGCAUCGGCUAACUCCGUGCCAGCAGCCGCGGUAAUACGGGGGAUGCAAGCGUUAUCCGGAAUGAUUGGGCGUAAAGCGCCUGUAGGUUGUUUAUUAAGUCCGUUGUUAAAGCCUAGGGCUCAACCCUAGAAAAGCAAUGGAAACUAGUAGACUAGAGUAUGGCAGGGGUAGAGGGAAUUUCUAGUGUAGCGGUGAAAUGCGUAGAUAUUAGAAAGAACACCGGUGGCGAAAGCGCUCUACUGGACCAUUACUGACACUCAGAGGCGAAAGCUAGGGUAGCAAAAGGGAUUAGAUACCCCUGUAGUCCUAGCCGUAAACGAUGGAUACUAGAUGUUGUGCAUUAUGUACAGUAUCGUAGCUAACGCGUUAAGUAUCCCGCCUGGGGAGUACGCUCGCAAGGGUGAAACUUAAAGGAAUUGACGGCUGAGAGUGCGAGACGACACGAGGGAGGUAGG